AGUGAACGCUGGCGGCAGGCCUAACACAUGCAAGUCGAACGGCAGCACAAGAGAGCUUGCUCUCUGGGUGGCGAGUGGCGGACGGGUGAGGAAUGCAUAGGCAUCUGCCCAUUUGUGGGGGAUAACCUCGGGAAAGCGGGACUAAUACCGCAUACGACCUACGGGUGAAAGCAGGGGAUCUUCGGACCUUGCGCAGAUGGAUGAGCCGAUGCCGGAUUAGCUAGUUGGAGGGGGAAAGGCCCACCAAGGCGACGAUCCGUAGCUGGUCUGAGAGGAUGAUCGGCCACACUGGGACUGAGACACGGCCCAGACUCCUACGGGAGGCAGCAGUGGGGAAUAUUGGACAAUGGGCGCAAGCCUGAUCCAGCCAUGCCGCGUGUGUGAAGAAGGCCUUCGGGUUGUAAAGCACUUUUGUUGGGAAAGAAAAGCAGCCGGUUAAUACCCGGUUGUCAUGACGGUACCCAAAGAAUAAGCACCGGCUAACUUCGUG
This 490-nucleotide ribosomal RNA is filed under the name uncultured bacterium. Its description in RNAcentral is "partial 16S ribosomal RNA". It matches the Rfam family "Bacterial small subunit ribosomal RNA", at positions 29 to 507 of the family's 1533-position model. The record is from RNAcentral.